This 437-nucleotide ribosomal RNA is filed under the name Crypthecodinium cohnii. RNAcentral's name for it is "partial Bacterial large subunit ribosomal RNA". It matches the Rfam family "Bacterial large subunit ribosomal RNA", at positions 810 to 1243 of the family's 2925-position model. The record is from RNAcentral. Lineage: Eukaryota; Dinophyceae; Gonyaulacales; Crypthecodiniaceae.
UGUGGCUAGGGGUGAAAGGCUAAUCAAACUCGGAGAUAGCUGGUUCUCUGCGAAAUCUAUUUAGGUAGAGCGUCAGACGAAUGCCCUCGGGGGUAGAGCACUGGAUGGGUGAUGGGGUCCCACAGACUUACUGAGCCUAACCAAACUCCGAAUACCGAGGAGCACUAUCUGGCAGACAGACGGCGGGUGCUAACGUCCGUCGUCGAGAGGGAAACAACCCUGACCUCCAGCUAAGGUCCCCAAGUCACGGCUAAGUGGGAAAGCAGGUGGGACGGCCAAAACAACCAGGAGGUUGGCUUAGAAGCAGCCAUCCUUUAAAGAUAGCGUAACAGCUCACUGGUCUAGAUAAGCUGUCCUGCGGCGAAGAUGUAACGGGGCUCAAGCCGUGCACCGAAGCUGAGGAUGCGUAGCGAUACGCGUGGUAGCAGAGCGUGGCG